AUACGUAGGUGACAAGCGUUAUCCGGAUUUACUGGGCGUAAAGGGCGUGUAGGCGGUCUUGCAAGUCAGAAGUGAAAUUCCUGAGCUCAACUCGGGCGCUGCUUCUGAAACUGCAGGACUUGAGUGCUGGAGGGGAUAGCGGAAUUCCUAGUGGAGCGGUAAAAUGCGCAGAUAUUAGGAAGAAUACCAGUGGCGAAGGCGACUUUCUGGACUUAUACUGACGCUGAGGAACGAAAGCGUGGGGAGCAAACAGGAUUAGAUACCCUGGUAGUCCACGCCGUAAACGAUGAGUGCUAGGUGUCGGGUGUCAAAGCUCGGUGCCGGAGCUAACGCAUUAAGCACUCCGCCUGGGGAGUACGGACGCAAGGAUGAAACUCAAAGGAAUUGGCGGGG
Molecule: ribosomal RNA, 393 nt
Filed under: uncultured bacterium
Lineage: Bacteria
Description: partial 16S ribosomal RNA
Rfam family: Bacterial small subunit ribosomal RNA
Source: RNAcentral